Molecule: long non-coding RNA, 343 nt
Organism: Felis catus (domestic cat)
Lineage: Eukaryota; Metazoa; Chordata; Mammalia; Carnivora; Felidae
Exons: 2
Source: RefSeq, a predicted model, not a curated record
UUCAGUGUUCAUUAAUACAGUUUCAUUGGAGCACAACCAUGCCCGUUUGUUGACAUCUCAUUUUUUUUUGUUUUUAGGUGGAAUUGGACAAUUGCAAUAGAGACUACAUGGUCUGCAAAACCUAAAAUGUUUAUUAUUUGGCACCUCACAAAAUAGUUUCCUGAUUCUUGGGAAAGGUUCAUUUUCCUAUUGUAGUUCAGUGUCAACUUUGACAAAAAAAGUUUUGGUGACAAGGAAUAGCAUCUGAAGCUGAGUGCUAAGGGCUUGCAGGAUGAGUUGCAGAAGCCGUGUCCCCAUGGAACCUUUGAAUUCACUCUUCCUCUAGUGUUUCCCAAGGUCUUGG